UACGUAGGGUGCAAGCGUUGUCCGGAUUUAUUGGGUUUAAAGGGUGCGUAGGCGGCCCGUUAAGUCCGGGGUGAAAGCCCACAGCUCAACUGUGGAACUGCCCUGGAUACUGGCGAGCUUGAGUCCAGACGAGGUUGGCGGAAUGGAAGCUGUAGCGGUGAAAUGCAUAGAUAGCUUCCAGAACCCCGAUUGCGUAGGCAGCUGACUAGGCUGGUACUGACACUGAGGCACGAAAGCGUGGGGAGCGAACAGG
RNAcentral lists this ribosomal RNA (253 nucleotides) under uncultured bacterium. RNAcentral's name for it is "partial 16S ribosomal RNA". It matches the Rfam family "Bacterial small subunit ribosomal RNA", at positions 524 to 776 of the family's 1533-position model. The record is from RNAcentral.